AAUAUGGGACAAUGGGGGCAACGCUGAUCCAGCCAUGCCGCGUGUGUGAAGAAGGNCUNNGGAUUNUNAAGCACUUUAAGUGGNNNNNAAGGGCGGUAGGUUAAUACCCUGAAGUUUUGACGUUACCAACAGAAUAAGCACCGGCUAACUCGUUCCUACCACCCGCGGUAAUACAGAGGGUGCAAGCGUUAAUCGGAAUUACUGGGCGUAAAGCGCGCGUAGGUGGUUCAGUAAGAUGGGUGUAAAAUCCCCGGGCUUAACCUGGGAACUGCUUUCAUAACUGCCGAGCUAGAGUACGGUAGAGGGUAGUGGAAUUUCCUGUGUAGCGGUGAAAUGCGUAGAUAUAGGAAGGAACACCAGUGGCGAAGGCGACUACCUGGACUGAUACUGACACUGAGGUGCGAAAGCGUGGGGAGCAAAC
This 421-nucleotide ribosomal RNA is filed under the name uncultured bacterium. RNAcentral's name for it is "partial 16S ribosomal RNA". It matches the Rfam family "Bacterial small subunit ribosomal RNA", at positions 360 to 773 of the family's 1533-position model. The record is from RNAcentral.